Molecule: transfer RNA, 71 nt
Filed under: Pseudomonas phage VCM
Lineage: Duplodnaviria; Heunggongvirae; Uroviricota; Caudoviricetes; Vandenendeviridae
Also listed under: 1 other name
Rfam family: tRNA
About the family: Transfer RNA (tRNA) molecules are approximately 80 nucleotides in length. Their secondary structure includes four short double-helical elements and three loops (D, anti-codon, and T loops).
Source: Rfam by way of RNAcentral
GCCUCAUUAGUUCAAUGGGAGAACGCCAUCCUUACAAGGUGGCUACGGUGGUUCGAUUCCAUCAUGAGGCA